RNAcentral lists this ribosomal RNA (399 nucleotides) under uncultured bacterium. Its description in RNAcentral is "bacterial SSU rRNA". It matches the Rfam family "Bacterial small subunit ribosomal RNA", at positions 29 to 419 of the family's 1533-position model. The record is from RNAcentral.
AACGAACGCUGGCGGCGCGCCUAAUACAUGCAAGUCGAGCGAGAAGACGUAGCAAUACGUUUGUAAAGCGGCGAACGGGUGAGGAAUACAUGGGUAACCUACCCUCGAGUGGGGAAUAACUAGCCGAAAGGUUAGCUAAUACCGCGUACGCUCCUUGGACUUCGGUUCAGGGAGGAAAGCGAUACCGUGGGUAUCGCGCUCUUGGAUGGGCUCAUGUCCUAUCAGCUUGUUGGUGAGGAACGGCUCACCAAGGCUUCGACGGGUAGCUGGUCUGAGAGGACGAUCAGCCACACUGGCACUGCGACACGGGCCAGACUCCUACGGGAGGCAGCAGUAAGGAAUAUUGCGCAAUGGGCGAAAGCCUGACGCAGCGACGCCGCGUGGGGGAUGAAGGUCUUC